RNAcentral lists this ribosomal RNA (499 nucleotides) under uncultured Glomeromycotina. RNAcentral's name for it is "partial small subunit ribosomal RNA". It matches the Rfam family "Eukaryotic small subunit ribosomal RNA", at positions 591 to 1092 of the family's 1831-position model. Lineage: Eukaryota; Fungi; Glomeromycota. The record is from RNAcentral.
CCAAUAGCGUAUAUUAAAGUUGUUGCAGUUAAAAAGCUCGUAGUUGAAUUUCGGGACCAAUUUGUUGGUCGUGCCUCGGUACGUACUGGUAUUAUUGGUUUCUCCCUUCUGAAGAACCAUGAUGCCAUUAAUUUGGUUUCGUGGGGAAUCAGGACUGUUACUUUGAAAAAAUUCGAGUGUUUAAAGCAGGCAUACGCUUGAAUACAUUAGCAUGGAAUAAUGACAUAGGCCGUUUGAUUCUAUUUUGUUGGUUUCUAGGAUCGACGUAAUGGUUAAUAGGGAUAGUUGGGGGCAUUAGUAUUCAAUUGUCAGAGGUGAAAUUCUUGGAUUUAUUGAAGACUAACUACUGCGAAAGCAUUUGCCAAGGAUGUUUUCAUUAAUCAAGAACGAAAGUUAGGGGAUCGAAGACGAUCAGAUACCGUCGUAGUCUUAACCAUAAACUAUGCCGACUAGGGAUCGGAUGAUGUUAAUUUUUUAAUGACUCAUUCGGCGCCUUACG